RNAcentral lists this ribosomal RNA (403 nucleotides) under Fusobacteriota bacterium. RNAcentral describes it as "Fusobacteria bacterium partial 16S ribosomal RNA". It matches the Rfam family "Bacterial small subunit ribosomal RNA", at positions 355 to 776 of the family's 1533-position model. Lineage: Bacteria; Fusobacteriati; Fusobacteriota. The record is from RNAcentral.
UGGGGAAUAUUGCACAAUGGGGGAAACCCUGAUGCAGCGACGCCGCGUGAGCGAAGAAGGUUUUCGAAUCGUAAAGCUCUGUCCUAUGGGAAGAUAAUGACGGUACCAUAGGAGGAAGCCCCGGCUAACUACGUGCCAGCAGCCGCGGUAAUACGUAGGGGGCAAGCGUUGUCCGGAAUCACUGGGCGUAAAGGGUUCGCAGGCGGAAAUGCAAGUCAGUUGUGAAAGGAAGAGGCUCAACCUCUGUAAGGAAUUGAAACUGUAUUUCUUGAGAUGUGGAGAGGCAAGUGGAAUUCCUAGUGUAGCGGUGAAAUGCGUAGAUAUUAGGAAGAAUACCGGUGGCGAAGGCAACUUGCUGGACCCAAACUGACGCUAAGGAACGAAAGCGUGGGUAGCAAACCGG